CCUACGGGAGGCAGCAGUGGGGAAUAUUGGACAAUGGGCGAAAGCCUGAUCCAGCCAUGCCGCGUGUGUGAAGAAGGUCUUCGGAUUGUAAAGCACUUUAAGUUGGGAGGAAGGGCAGUCAGCGAAUACCUUGCUGUCUUGACGUUACCGACAGAAUAAGCACCGGCUAACUCUGUGCCAGCAGCCGCGGUAA
RNAcentral lists this ribosomal RNA (193 nucleotides) under uncultured Pseudomonas sp. Its description in RNAcentral is "partial 16S ribosomal RNA". It matches the Rfam family "Bacterial small subunit ribosomal RNA", at positions 338 to 523 of the family's 1533-position model. Lineage: Bacteria; Pseudomonadati; Pseudomonadota; Gammaproteobacteria; Pseudomonadales; Pseudomonadaceae. The record is from RNAcentral.